GCGGGGCUGCGGGGCACGUUAGGAGACAUUUCCCCGGGGCCUUAUCGAUCCUUAAGGGAGCUGUCCCUGACCUCGUCCCUGGACUUGGACACACGGCGCCCACCUACGUUGUAGGUUCCCGGGAUCGAACUCCGACGGCUUCUGUGGCUCCGCA
Non-coding RNA from Xanthobacter autotrophicus, 154 nucleotides. It matches the Rfam family "6S / SsrS RNA". From Rfam's summary of the family: E. coli 6S RNA was the first non coding RNA to be sequenced, but its function was unknown until recently. The record is from Rfam. Lineage: Bacteria; Pseudomonadati; Pseudomonadota; Alphaproteobacteria; Hyphomicrobiales; Xanthobacteraceae.